This 1429-nucleotide ribosomal RNA is filed under the name uncultured Alkaliflexus sp. RNAcentral describes it as "bacterial SSU rRNA". It matches the Rfam family "Bacterial small subunit ribosomal RNA". Lineage: Bacteria; Pseudomonadati; Bacteroidota; Bacteroidia; Marinilabiliales; Marinilabiliaceae. The record is from RNAcentral.
UAAGAGUUUGAUCCUGGCUCAGGAUGAACGCUAGCGACAGACACAUGCAAGUCGAACGGUAUCCCGAUUUAUCGGGAGAGAGUGGCGCACGGGUGAGUAACGCGUAUGCACCUGUAACUGGGGGAUAGCUCCCUGAAAGGGGAAUUAACACCGCAUAAGACUACGGCAUCGCAUGGUGCAGUGGUAAGAAUAUUUAUAGGUUACAGUAUGGGCAUGCGUGACAUUAGUUUGGAGGUAACGGCUCACCAAGACUACGAUGUCUAGGGGAUUCUGAGAGGAAGGUCCCCCACACUGGUACUGAGACACGGACUACCAGACUCCUACGGGAGGCAGCAGUGAGGAAUAUUGGUCAAUGGGCGCAAGCCUGAACCAGCCAUGUCGCGUGCAGGAAGACGGCCCUAUGGGUUGUAAACUGCUUUUGUAUGGGAAGAUUGUUAGCUACGAGUAGCUCCGGUACCAUACGAAUAAGGAUCGGCUAACUCCGUGCCAGCAGCCGCGGUAAGCGGAGGGUCCGAGCGUUAUCCGGAAGCUAAAGGGUGCGUAGGCGGACUGAUAAGUCAGUGGUGAAAUACUGCAGCUUAACUGUAGAAUUGCCGUUGAUACUGUCAGUCUUGAGUACAGUUGAGGUAGGCGGAAUGUGGUGUGUAGCGGUGAAAUGCUUAGAUAUACCACAGAACACCGAUUGCGAAGGCUUACUAAAGUGUCACUGACGCUGAUGCACGAAAGCGUGGGUAUCAAACAGGAUUAGAUACCCUGGUAGUCCACGCUGUAAACGAUGAUUACUGGUUGUUAGCGAUAUACCGUUAGUUGAGCGAAAGCAUUAAGUAAUCCACCUGGGGAGUACGUCGGCAACGAUGAAACUCAAAGGAAUUGACGGGGGCCCGCACAAGCGGAGGAACAUGUGGUUUAAGAUGAUACGCGAGGAACCUUACCUGGGUUUAAAUGGGAAGUGACAGACUUGGAAACAGGUUUUUCACGGACACUGVUCAAGGUGCUGCAUGGUUGUCGUCAGCUCGUGCCGUGAGGUGUCGGGUUAAGUCCCAUAACGAGCGCAACCCCUAUCGGACCAGCACAUAAUGGUGGGGACUCUGCCGAGACUGCCGGUGUAAACCGUGAGGAAGGUGGGGAUGACGUCAAAUCAGCACGGCCCUCAUCCAGGGCUACACACGUGUUACAAUGGCCGGUACAAAGGGCAGCUACACAGCGAUGUGAUGCGAAUCUCAAAAACCGGUCUCAGUUCGGAUUGGAGUCUGCAACCCGACUCCAUGAAGCUGGCUAGUAAUCGCGCAUCAGCCACGGCGCGGUGAAUACGUUCCCGGGCCUUGUACACACCGCCCGUCAAGCCAUGGGAGCCGGGGGUACCUGAAGUAUGUAACCGCAAGGAGCGUCCUAGGGUAAAACUGGUGACUGGGGCUAAGUCGUCGUAACA